Long non-coding RNA from Helianthus annuus (common sunflower), 1144 nucleotides. RefSeq lists it as uncharacterized. The transcript has 3 exons. The record is from RefSeq and is a predicted model, not a curated record. Lineage: Eukaryota; Viridiplantae; Streptophyta; Magnoliopsida; Asterales; Asteraceae.
UCUUGUAAAUCUAUCCAAAAUCUCUUCAAGAUCUUAGAAAAAGAAAAUCUUGUCAAAAUCUAAGCAAAAUCUUGACAAAAGAUUGUUGUCUCAAAAGUUUAGAACACACAAGAUUUGUAAGAUAUCUGUUAUCUCUAUAAAUAAGGGGUGUAUCAUCUUUCAUUCACAACACAUACACUCACACAAGAACCCACAGACUUAAAAGUCUGCCCUCUCCUUCUCGGUUACACACACACACAAAUAGAGAACAGGCCUUUCAUCCCCUCUCACCCUCUCGAUUUCAAAAUAAACAAAUUAUAUGUACAAGAUACACACACAUAUGAGAACCCUUCAUUUCUUUGAUCCUCAAAAUAACACCACAGGAACUGAACCCCACCUCCCCUCCAUCUCAGUGCAGACUGAUGACCACAAGGAGGACCGGCGACGGUAGACGGUAGCCGGCACCCCUGUGUUUCCGGCGAGUCCUCUUCCAGGCAACACCCACCCCCACCCCCUCGUCUCUGGUCCGACGGCGAAACCGGUGGUUAACCGGCUACUCGGGUCAUUUUCCGGCGACGAAGAUCGGAAGAAAUGAGAGAGGCGAGAAGAGAAAGAGAGAUCUGACGGACAAAGACUCGGACCUCCGGUCGGUCCAUUUAUCCGGCAGUCCAUGACAUUAUCCGUCAAAAUUUCACGGUAAGACUCCUCCUCCCGCGUGCAUCUCCAUUUCUUUUGUUAGAUGACGUUAUUGAGGUCCGCUGAUGAUGAUCGGUUUGUCGGGUUUCGGGUUCGACUCGGUUCUGGUUCGGGACAGCCGUGGCUCCGGCUCGUGUUCGUGUGUUACAGGCUCCGGUUUGGGGUCCAGGUCAACGCUAGUCAAAGGCAGCUUCACAUUCGUUCGGGUCAGCGGGAUCAGGUGUGGUCAAACCCGGUCAAAGGAGGUCAGAGAUGGUCAACUGCAGUGCGGUUCGGGUGCAGGAUUCACCAAGUUUCUAGCUUUCUACUUCAAGUUCUCAUCCCACCUAUACCGUGUUUUUUUUAUAGGCAUGGGUAGGUCGGAUCAUUUCUUUUCACCAACAUUGACUUGCUAGCAUGGGCACGGGACGCAUUAUGGUUGCAUUUCUAAGACAAGGCACGGUUGGAAUAGGAGAACCAUGAAGAGUCG